This 256-nucleotide ribosomal RNA is filed under the name uncultured bacterium. RNAcentral describes it as "partial 16S ribosomal RNA". It matches the Rfam family "Bacterial small subunit ribosomal RNA", at positions 524 to 776 of the family's 1533-position model. The record is from RNAcentral.
GACGUAGGAGGCGAGCGUUGUCCGGAUUCAUUGGGCGUAAAGCGCGUGUAGGCGGCCUUGCAAGUCGGGCGUGAAAGCCCUCAGCUCAACUGAGGAAGCGCGCCCGAAACUGCAGAGCUUGAGUACCGGAGAGGAUGGCGGAAUUCCCCAAGUAGAGGUGAAAUUCGUAGAUAUGGGGAGGAACACCGGUGGCGAAGGCGGCCAUCUGGACGGAUACGUGACGCUGAGACGCGAAAAGCGUGGGGGAGCAAACAGG